RNAcentral lists this ribosomal RNA (388 nucleotides) under Oligotrophus juniperinus. RNAcentral describes it as "partial 12S ribosomal RNA". Lineage: Eukaryota; Metazoa; Arthropoda; Insecta; Diptera; Cecidomyiidae. The record is from RNAcentral.
UAUUAUUAAUAAUUUAAUAAUUUAAUUAAUAAUUAUAAUUGUUAAAAAAAAAUUAAUUAUUAUGGCAGUAUUUUUUAAAAUUAGAGGAUUUUGUUAUUUAAUAGAUUUUACACUUUAUAAUAUAUUUAAUUUUAAAUAUUGUAUAUUGUUGUAUUAAAUUAAUAUGUUUAUUAUUAUUAAUAAUUUAAUUUUAAAUAUUUGUAAUUCAAAUAAACAUGCAUAUUAUAAUUAAGGUUUAAAUGAAAUACAAUUAAUUUAAUUUAAUGGAUAUAAAUUUGUAAUAUUUUAUUUAAAUAGGAUUUAAUAUUAAAAUUUAAUAUAUAUUAAAUUUGAAUAUUAAAUAAAAUAUGUACAUAUUGCCCGUCGUUUUUAAAAUUAAUUAAAAUAA